This 440-nucleotide ribosomal RNA is filed under the name uncultured bacterium. RNAcentral describes it as "partial 16S ribosomal RNA". It matches the Rfam family "Bacterial small subunit ribosomal RNA", at positions 339 to 795 of the family's 1533-position model. The record is from RNAcentral.
CUACGGGGGGCAGCAGUGGGGAAUAUUGCACAAUGGGCGAAAGCCUGAUGCAGCAACGCCGCGUGAGUGAUGAAGGUCUUCGGAUUGUAAAGCUCUGUUCUUGGGGAAGAAUAAAUGACGGUACCCAAGGAGAAAGCCCCGGCUAACUACGUGCCAGCAGCCGCGGUAAUACGUAGGGGGCAAGCGUUAUCCGGAAUCACUGGGCGUAAAGGGUGCGUAGGCGGCUUAGCAAGUCAGAAGUGAAAGGCAUUGGCUCAACCAAUGUAAGCUUUUGAAACUGUUAGGCUUGAGUGCAGGAGAGGAAAGUGGAAUUCCUAGUGUAGCGGUGAAAUGCGUAGAUAUUAGGAGGAACACCAGUGGCGAAGGCGACUUUCUGGACUGUAACUGACGCUGAGGCACGAAAGCGUGGGGAGCGAACAGGAUUAGAUACCCUAGUAGUC